AGUCUUCUGCAGAGCUGCCAUUUUCGAGCUUGCUGAGAGAAGUAUCAGUACAACAUACAGAUCGAGAGCUCUUCAUAUCACUUGUCUGGAAUUUUGGCUCCCUUAUCAUUAAUUACGCAGCUGCUGUUGUUUUGGUACUAACAGGAAGUGCCUAAUUCCUUAAAAAUCUCCUUUGAUGUGUAAGAAACUGGGUUGGGUAAGCAAAGCUUUCUAAUCAUCUCCGGUGGAUAGAACAGAACAUUCUCUUGAGUGGCCGUCUCAGAGAGUAUGCCAGUAGUUUCCGAAGGUCAUCAACGACAGGCAAUUUGAAGAACUUCUAGCGGGACCGGAGAAAAUCACACAGAAGGCAUUAAAGAAUGUUGAUGAAAAUAUUCUUGGCAACUACAGAACACCAAACUACAUGUGGCUGGUUGACAACAUGCUUCAAGAAUACUAAACUAUGAAGUGCAACACGUCACUAAAAAUUCAUUUUGUGCAUUCCAAUUCAAACUUCUUCCCUGUAAAUCCUGGCGUUGUUAAUGGCGAGCAUGUGAAAGGUUUCACCAGGACAUUGAUCAUGGAGAAAUGAUAUCAGGGAAACAGAAAUCCAUCAAUACUGACUGAUUAUUGUCCAAUACUUAAGUGAGAAGCUUCAGGCACUGAGUACAAAUGAAAAUCAUCAACAAAGUAAUUUUAACUAUUGCCAAGUGUCAGCACUGUUAUGCAAUUAAACACAUUGUAUUCAAGAAAAGUUUCUCCAAAUUCCUAUGUGAUACAUGUAUUUUGAAAUUAUAUUUGUGUUCAGGUUCAAGUGGUCCAUCACAAACAAUAAAAAGUUCUGAGGAAGCAACACUUUCGAAAAAAAUUGUUGUCCUCUGUUACCAGGGCAACUGAUUGAGCUGGGCCUAGUGGUUCCAGAGACCAAGAUUCUGACCUCGGCUUGUAGCUGUACGGAACUUGUACAUUCUCCCUGUGACCACAUGAUUUUCCUCCUUCAUCCCAAAGAUAUGUGAGCUGGUCCGUUAAUCGGCUUUUGUAACUUCUAAUGUGCAGGAGAGGGACUAGGUUCAGAUUUAUUUAUCGCAUGUGCAUCGAAAAAUAGAGUGAAAUGGUUGUGUGCAUUAACAACAAACACACCCAGUGAUGUGCUCAGAACAGCUCACAAGUGUUGCCACGCAUUUUGGCACCAAUGUAGCAUUCCAACAAUGCUCAGCAGAGCAGUACAGAACAUAACACGACAGAAAACAGCAAGCAACAACUGUGAAACAAGCAUCAUUCCUCCCAGAUCCAUCGACCCACGUACACUGCCCCCACCCCCAGGGCAAGGGGUCUUCUUCGGCCUCCAGUGGACUCCUGGAUUUGCAGACUGUUGUGUGUUUCAUAUUUCAGUUAAUAUCUGAGUAAUCUUGUAUAUAUGUUAGUUGAUUAAGCAUUCUUUCUGGUUUAAAUAAUUCAUUAUGAGUUAUAUGUAAAAAUGUAUUAAUUGCAUAUGUCAUCACACAUGACACUUGCGUGCACCUCACUUAAAGUAAAGAUGAAGCUAUUCCCGCA
Long non-coding RNA from Hypanus sabinus (Atlantic stingray), 1530 nucleotides. RefSeq lists it as uncharacterized. The record is from RefSeq and is a predicted model, not a curated record. The transcript has 2 exons. NCBI's taxonomy places the organism in Eukaryota, Metazoa, Chordata, Chondrichthyes, Myliobatiformes, Dasyatidae.